RNAcentral lists this ribosomal RNA (576 nucleotides) under uncultured bacterium. RNAcentral's name for it is "bacterial SSU rRNA". It matches the Rfam family "Bacterial small subunit ribosomal RNA", at positions 28 to 638 of the family's 1533-position model. The record is from RNAcentral.
AAUCAACGCUGGCGGCGCGCCUAACACAUGCAAGUCGAACGAGAAAGUCCGCAAGGAUGAGUAAAGUGGCGUACGGGUGAGUAACACGUGGAUAAUCUACCUUUUAGUGGGGAAUACCGCUGGGAAACCGGUGACAAUACCGCAUAAUCUCGAGAGAGGAAAGCCGCAAGGCGCUGAAAGAGGAGUCCGCGGCCGAUUAGCUAGUUGGUAGGGUAAUGGCCUACCAAGGCGACGAUCGGUAGCCGGCCUGAGAGGGCACACGGCCACACUGGCACUGAAACACGGGCCAGACUCCUACGGGAGGCAGCAGUGGGGAAUCUUGCACAAUGGGGGCAACCCUGAUGCAGCGACGCCGCGUGAGCGAUGAAGCCCCUCGGGGUGUAAAGCUCUUUCGGCAGGGAAGAUUAUGACGGUACCUGCAGAAGCAGCUGCGGCUAACUACGUGCCAGCAGCCGCGGUAAUACGUAGGCAGCAAGCGUUGUUCGGAGUUACUGGGCGUAAAGGGUGUGUAGGCGGUUGCCUAAGUUUGGUGUGAAAUCUCCCGGCUUAACCGGGAGGGUGCGCCGAAAACUGGGU